RNAcentral lists this ribosomal RNA (440 nucleotides) under uncultured bacterium. RNAcentral describes it as "partial 16S ribosomal RNA". It matches the Rfam family "Bacterial small subunit ribosomal RNA", at positions 338 to 795 of the family's 1533-position model. The record is from RNAcentral.
CCUACGGGAGGCAGCAGUGGGGGAUAUUGCACAAUGGGGGGAAGCCUGAUGCAGCGAUGCCGCGUGGGUGAAGAAGGGCCUCGGCGCGUAAAGCCCUGUCAGCGGGGAAGAAAAUGACGGUACCUGUAGAAGAAGCGCCGGCUAACUACGUGCCAGCAGCCGCGGGAAUACGGAGGGGGCAAGCGUUAACCGGAUUUACGGGGUGUAAAGGGGGCGGAGGCGGCGCUGCAAGCCAGGAGUGAAAGCCCGGGGCCCAACCCCGGAACUGCUCUUGGAACUGCGUGGCUAGAGUGCAGUAGUGGCAGGCGGAAUUCCUGGUGUAGCGGUGAAAUGCGUAGAGAUCAGGAGGAACACCGGUGGCGAAGGCGGCCUGCUGGACUGCAACCGACGUUGAGGCCCGAAAGCGUGGGGAGCAAACAGGAUUAGAUACCCUAGUAGUC